Molecule: long non-coding RNA, 387 nt
Organism: Hyla sarda
Lineage: Eukaryota; Metazoa; Chordata; Amphibia; Anura; Hylidae
Exons: 3
Source: RefSeq, a predicted model, not a curated record
CCUCAUUGAGACCGAAGUCUUGUUCCUUGUAGAAGACAGCAAGCCACCAACCAUUCUCCAUAAUAUAUGAUUUGGAGAAGAAUAUCAAUCCCCAGAUAAGAAACAAGUGAGCAAGUAGAAAAUGGCAGGAUAGAAGGAUGGACUAAUGCAUUGUGCAUUAUAACACAGUCUCUGAAUUCUGGUGCUGCAGCUUCAGUCUGCCUCCUAUGGAAACGCUAUGAAAUAAAGCAUCCAACUUCAUCACAACACAUUGGCCGAACUAAUAUCCACAGAUUUUCACACAACACAAUAAUGAGAAGUUACAAGUCACGUCGUCGAAAAAGGUUACACUUAACAAUCCGCGCAACUGCACUUUGUUAUCUUAAUCACAUUUGGAACAGAGCAGAG